Molecule: long non-coding RNA, 511 nt
Filed under: Bos taurus (domestic cattle)
Lineage: Eukaryota; Metazoa; Chordata; Mammalia; Artiodactyla; Bovidae
Description: long non-coding RNA NONBTAT022490
Source: RNAcentral
CUUUUAUAAAAAAGUUAUACAUUUAUUUAGGUUUUCUAUUUCAAUGCUUUGGCCAGAAGCUUUGGAGCAAAGUUUUGCUCCUGAUUUCAAAAGUUAAAUAUUUAGUUUUACAUUGUUAAGGGGGAUGCUGAUUUAAGAUAAAUAUUCUUCAUAUUCUUUACAUUGUUAAGGAAAUAGUCUUCUGUUCUCAAUUUUAAAGGAUUUGUCAGGAAAGUGGGUCUAAAUAUUAUGUCAUAGUUCUUGGUUUAUAUUAAGUUUAAUAAGUAAAAAAUCACUGUAUAAAGCAUUAGGACAGUAGUUGGCAUGUGAAGUUGACAAACUCAUUUCACGCCUACCAAAUUGUUUUAUGUUCCUUUGCCAAAUUUAUGAUAGAUGAGACACACACUUUUAAUUCUUCAAUCUUUCCAGCCUUCUGAUAUUAUUAUUAUUCUGAUAUUCCUUGCCCUUCUGGACUCAUAGGUAGUUGUUUUUUCAGGCAUCCUGAUUACUCUGUAAUCAAGUCAACACAUGG